RNAcentral lists this ribosomal RNA (497 nucleotides) under uncultured bacterium. RNAcentral's name for it is "partial 16S ribosomal RNA". It matches the Rfam family "Bacterial small subunit ribosomal RNA", at positions 28 to 507 of the family's 1533-position model. The record is from RNAcentral.
GAUGAACGCUGGCGGCGUGCCUAAUACAUGCAAGUCGAGCGAACAGACGAGGAGCUUGCUCCUCUGAUGUUAGCGGCGGACGGGUGAGUAACACGUGGAUAACCUACCUAUAAGACUGGGAUAACUUCGGGAAACCGGAGCUAAUACCGGAUAACAUGUUGAACCGCAUGGUUCAACAGUGUAAGACGGUCUUGCUGUCACUUAUAGAUGGAUCCGCGCCGCAUUAGCUAGUUGGUAAGGUAACGGCUUACCAAGGCAACGAUGCGUAGCCGACCUGAGAGGGUGAUCGGCCACACUGGAACUGAGACACGGUCCAGACUCCUACGGGAGGCAGCAGUAGGGAAUCUUCCGCAAUGGGCGAAAGCCUGACGGAGCAACGCCGCGUGAGUGAAGAAGGUCUUCGGAUCGUAAAACUCUGUUAUUAGGGAAGAACAAAUGUGUAAGUAACUAUGCACGUCUUGACGGUACCUAAUCAGAAAGCCACGGCUAACUACGUG